AUUGAACGCUGGCGGCGUGCCUAACACAUGCAAGUCGAGCGGUAACAGGUGUAGCAAUACAUGCUGACGAGCGGCGAACGGGUGAGUAAUGCUUCGGAAUCUACCCAAUGGUGGGGAAUAACCAGCCGAAAGGUUGGCUAAUACCGCAUACGUCCCACGGGAGAAAGCAGGGGAUCGCAAGACCUUGCGCCAAUGGAUGAGCCGAAGUCGGAUUAGCUAGUUGGAGGGUAACGGCCUACCAAGGCGACGAUCCGUAGCUGGUCUGAGAGGACGACCAGCCACACUGGGACUGAGACACGGCCCAGGACUCCUACGGGAGCAGCAGUGGGGAAUNUUGGACAAUGGGGGAAACCCUGAUCCAGCGACGCCGCGUGUGUGAAGAAGGCCUGCGGGG
RNAcentral lists this ribosomal RNA (394 nucleotides) under uncultured bacterium. RNAcentral describes it as "bacterial SSU rRNA". It matches the Rfam family "Bacterial small subunit ribosomal RNA", at positions 29 to 423 of the family's 1533-position model. The record is from RNAcentral.